RNAcentral lists this ribosomal RNA (245 nucleotides) under uncultured soil bacterium. RNAcentral describes it as "partial 16S ribosomal RNA". It matches the Rfam family "Bacterial small subunit ribosomal RNA", at positions 27 to 271 of the family's 1533-position model. The record is from RNAcentral.
GGACGAACGCUGGCGGCGUGCUUAACACAUGCAAGUCGAACGGAAAGGCCCUGCUUUUGUGGGGUGCUCGAGUGGCGAACGGGUGAGUAACACGUGAGUAACCUGCCCUUGACUUUGGGAUAACUUCAGGAAACUGGGGCUAAUACCGGAUAGGAGCUCCUGCUGCAUGGUGGGGGUUGAAAGUUUCGGCGGUUGGGGAUGGACUCGCGGCUUAUCAGCUUGGUUGGUGGGGUAUGGCUUACCAA